This 351-nucleotide ribosomal RNA is filed under the name bacterium enrichment culture clone ALO1_GLFRUDD03G4NEA. RNAcentral's name for it is "bacterial SSU rRNA". It matches the Rfam family "Bacterial small subunit ribosomal RNA", at positions 9 to 355 of the family's 1533-position model. The record is from RNAcentral.
GAGUUUGAUCCUGGCUCAGAUUGAACGCUGGCGGCAUGCCUUACACAUGCAAGUCGAACGGCAGCACGGGAGCUUGCUCCUGGUGGGCGAGUGGCGAACGGGUGAGUAAUGCAUCGGAACGUAUCCUGGAGUGGGGGAUAACGUAGCGAAAGUUACGCUAAUACCGCAUAUUCUGUGAGCAGGAAAAGCGGGGGACCUUCGGGCCUCGCGCUCUUGAAGCGGCCGAUGUCGGAUUAGCUAGUUGGUGAGGUAAAAGGCUCACCAAAGGCGACGAUCCGUAGCAGGUCUGAGAGGAUGAUCUGCCACACUGGAACUGAGACACGGUCCAGACUCCUACGGGAGGCAGCGAGU